GUCCAUAUUGCUCACAGUAUGGUGGCUAUGACCUUCGGCUUGUGACCGAGUGGGUUCGGGUUCGAAUCCCGAGUAAGACA
Molecule: transfer RNA, 80 nt
Filed under: Trichonephila inaurata madagascariensis
Lineage: Eukaryota; Metazoa; Arthropoda; Arachnida; Araneae; Nephilidae
Description: tRNA-Thr
Source: RNAcentral